RNAcentral lists this long non-coding RNA (14512 nucleotides) under Ananas comosus (pineapple). RNAcentral describes it as "long non-coding RNA (ACOM_LNC029767)". The record is from RNAcentral. Lineage: Eukaryota; Viridiplantae; Streptophyta; Magnoliopsida; Poales; Bromeliaceae.
AAUUUUCCCACUUGAAAUUUAAAAAUUAAAAAUUAAAAAUUAAAAAUUUUUAAAUUUCAGUUUAAAAUUUGUAAAUUUAAAAUUUAAAUUUUAAAAUCCAAUGUAAAAGAGAGAGAGAGUUGGGCUAGAAUAUUAUUAAUAGUAUUUGCCCUCUUUUAUUUUAGUUUUUAGUUUUUUGAUCAAUUCUUUGAUCAUUUCUAUCUAUUGGAUUAAAUAUUAUAACUCAGUGGGGACCACUCAACUCUAAGGGGACCACUCAAUCUUAAGGGACUAACAUCAAUCUAUAAAAAAAUAAUUUGAUAGAUUUCUAUUUUAAAUUAAAAAAUAAUUAAAAUAAUCAAAGUAAACUAUAAAAAGACAAAUAAUUAAAGUAAGCUAUAAAAAAAACUCAUAGUUAUAUUAUUUUGAAAAAAUAAUCAAAUUAAACUUUAAAAUGAAAACAUAUUAAAUUAAUUAAAUGCAACUAAAAAAUACUUAUAAUAAAAACACAUUAUUUUGGUAAUAAAAUAUGCAUUAUAAUAGUUGUAAGAGUGCGAGGGAUAAAACGGGUACACUAGCCAUUAUUUUUUUUUUGAAAUACAAGUAAUAUGGAUAGUUUUAAUAAUUUUACUAAAUUUGAAAGGUUUUUUUUUUUUUUUGAGAGAAGGGCAAUUUUGAUAUUAAUAAUUUUUUGAGGGUAUCCAAAUAAUUAGGGGUUGGUGAGAGGGUACCUGUGAAAUCAACCCUGUAUUUUACCAUCGACUGAAAGACUCAAAAUUUGACUUUACCAUUCUUGAUCCGAAGUAACUUUUGUCAACUAGCACUAUUCUAAUGUGAUGUGGAGUAAUUGGUUAGAUAUAUUGUCUUUCUAUCAAAAAUAUUUACUAAUUCGCUUUUAACCAGCUAUGCCCUGCAUAUAUAUACAUGCAUUUAUGCGGAUAUCAUGUAUCCGCAUGCAUAACAGUUCUUUCAUUUGUGUGUGGAAAGAGCCACAUUAUGAUACAGUGUUGAAAUAAAUUGAUAAGAUUUGGUCCCAUUGGAUCUAGACAAUCUUAUUUUUUUGGACAUGAAGAGAUAAAGAAGCCAUUGCAAUUGCCGGAAAUACUAGGCCCACUAAAGGCACAAAAAUAGAGGGUAAGUUGAGAUCUGUCAUAGAAUGGGUGCCUCGAUUUAAUAUUUGUAUCUAUAUAUUUGUAUCUAUUAGAAAGAUAUCUUAUGAUAUGAUAAGUAUAUCUAUUAUAAGUAAUAUUAAGUAAUAUUGACUAUUGUAUUUUAUAUAAUAUGAAGUUUGAAUAAUAAUAUUCAAACUUCAUAUUAUACUACUAAGUAUAUAUAAACAAUUAAGUAUAUAUAAAUAUAUACUUUAUAAUAAAUAUAAGAUUUCCAAAUAAUAUUAUUUGGAAUAUUAUUAUUUGGAAAUUCAAAUUAUUAUUUGGAAAUCUCAAAUAGUAAUAAAAUAAAAAGAAAAUAAAAAAAAAAAGAUAGAUAAUAAGUGCAAAAAUGUAGAACUAAAUUAAGUGUACCUAUUCAUCUUUCUACACGAAUAUAGAUAGGAUAAUCUUCUUUUACAAAUUUUAUUAUUCUUCUUCUCCCAUCCUUAUGUUCUUUCUAUCUUUCUUUCUAAUCUAAUAAGGAGUUUCUUAUUAAAAAGGAGUUUUCUUAUGAAAAUUAAGUUCAUUAUGAAUUCGCGACUCUAAAUAAUACGAUCCAACAAACGGGGAUUCAUAGUAAAAAUGCGAUAUAUAUAGAAAUUUUUUUAUUCCAUAUCCGUAUUUGCUAUUUCUUUUUAUUUUGAUCUUCUUUUUUUCAUUAUUGUCUAUCUUAAUUAUUGUCUAUCUUAAUUAAUACGUAAGAUAGCCAGAUAAAAUUCUUUUUAUUUCCCCAAAUUCGAAUUCCUCGGAAAGAGAAAUUCACCUUUUUAUUUUAUCCUGUUGAUAGAGGUUCAUAAUACCUAAUCAUGAAUAGGGGUAAGAUAAAAAAUAGAUCUGGAUCUGGAAGAAAAAAAAUUAUCCGAAACUUCUGACUCUUACUAGAAAGUGUAACUUAUAUCACCAAAGAACAUUUUUCUUAGUUUUUUUUAUUACGAUGAACUAAAUACUUGUUCGCUACAAAUAAAAUAACUGAAUCUAGUGCUAUACUUUAAUUUUUGGAAUUUUGAUUCAAGGGAAAGAAACCAUGGAGCUGAAAUAACUCACUUAGAACACCUUUUAAAGGAUUACGUGGUACGAUUGGGUCGAAUNGCGCCGCCGCCACUCCAAAUCGGCCGCGCCGUCAUCCCACGGCCUCCGGCGACCUCCCGCUCGCCGCUACUCGCCAUCCCGGCUAUCCCCGUGGACCGCCGGCCGCCGCUCCUCCUUCCUGCGUCCGCCCAGACCCGUGCGAGCCAUGGCCGAGUCCCCUCGGCUUCCAAGCGUUGCCGCCGCCCACUGACAGGAGCACAACCUCUUCCUCGACCUCCGGCGACAAACCAUCGCCGCCCUGGGCUCCUCCGGCCGCCGCUUCACCGCCGGCGCUCUUGAACCCGAGAGGAACUUGGCGGACUUGAUCUCCGCCGCCGUGCCACCGGCCACCUUGCGCCGCCGGCCAGCGGGUGCCCCAGACCCCACCAACCGGCCGCACCCUCCCCUGGCCGGACCGCCCGCCGUCCGGCCGCCGGCGAUCAACCCUAGCUCCACUACCUAGGUAAGGCUGUAUUGAUGUUAACAGCACUGUAUUUUGGGAUUCCGGUCGCCUUUCCGGCGAUCCGAAGGCACCCUGAUGACAGUAGAAGUGAGCACGAUCAUCGUUACUCCGUGCUGAGCAUCGUGCUCACCUCCGUCGGGGUCAUCGGUUCCCCGGUUUGCGUGUUAGAAGCGAAUUAGGCACUGUGCGCGCUAUUUCACCGAAUUUCGCGUCGCUCGUACGUUUCCCACAGUGGCCGAAUUUGCUCCGAAAGGUGAGCACGGUCUCCGGCACGCCGAGACCUAUCAGCAGGUGCCUCGGCUUCACUGAUUCAUUUCUGGUUUGUGCAGACGGACCAUAAAAGCGCCGAAAUCGCAUGAAAUAAUGCGAUUUCGGGUAAUCGGGAGGGCUUUUAUGUAUUUUGGGUUGUUGCGGCUGCUGUUGGCAGCAUGGGUGAGUAGUGGGUAACCUCUGGACUGAUUGUCCAAGGCCCCAAGCCCUUACGGAGACCGUAAAGUGAUUUCCGAUGCGUUUCUCGGCGAAAUCCGCCGACGGAACGCGGGUUCGGUUCGGAAUUUUUCCGACGGUGCUUCGUGAGCUAUUGUGUAGUCGCCGAGCCUUGUUUGCUGGUCACUUGCGUCAUUUCGAGAGUUCAGAAAUGACGAGUGAGCGACGGUGGGUUCCGGUGUCGAAUUUGACACUUUCGGGAACCCGAGUUCGUACAAUUAUCCGGCGAUAAUUGUGUAGUUGUGUUAACUUGUGUUUGCUGCCAAGACAUCCAAAUUGGUGUGUUUUGUGGCAGCGGGUGACUCGUAUCAUGAGUCGGAACAUUUCGGGACAGUUCGUGGGUCCCGACGGAGUCCCGGUGCGAUUUUCGGGACUUCCGACGAGUUACGGUAGUCGGUUUUGGGAAACUGAUCUCCGUGGAUUUGUUAGUGGGAUUAUGAUGUAGUAUUUCUUAGUUGUGGGUUAGACACUAACCCAGUGGACCCUCCAUAGGUCCUGUUGACGUUCUUUUGCAGUCAGGAGACAGGCGCGACAGUUGUACAGGUGGGUACUUCGAUCCGACGUCGGUACAGUGGUGCACGCUCGGUGAUGGUUUCUUACCUUUGCUCUUUCGUUAUUAUCUAGCAUAUAUAUAUCUUGAUAUAUAGUGUUGAGCCUAGCACCAUGUUGUUCAGUUACACUCUACUCGGUUGUUCUCUUUAUAUCAUGAGUAGGAGUAGAGUAGUUAUACCAUAUUUCUUUGUUGCUCUACUUAGCUAUUCUGCAUAUCCUGUAUCAUGUUUAGAGUAGAGCGGUUUCGUGAUUUUAUGUGAAAUCGGUGACCUAGUUGAUUCGUUCUUGUAUCUUAUAUCUGUAUAUAGUCGGUUUGUUCCUUGACUCUUGUUGUUUGAUGACCUUUGAGGUCGGUGUACCCUGAGGGGUAGGAUUGUCGACUAGUGGCCGACGGUAGUUCUAGAUCAUAUACUCAGAUGACUUGUUGACCGAUUCUUGCAUAUAUACAGUAGUUGACUCAUUGAUCAGUAUCUACAUACUGUGGGUAGGAUGUUGAGUUGUUCCAUCCCAGUUGACUUGAUUAGUCAGUAUUUGCAUAUGUUUGAGAGGAUGUCGAUGUUGUCCCAUCCUAGUUGACCUGAGUGGUCGGUUCUUGUGCUUCUUUACAGUUGAUGACCUAUGCGGUCGAUAGGCCCUGGGGGGCAGGAUUGUCGGCUGGUUGCCGACGGUUGAUCAUUGACCAUAUUGCAUUGAUCGCCCGAUACUCGUCGCAUUUCACGAACACUGGCGGUCUGAUCCACCGCAAGGAGUGUUCUUUUCCGGAAAAGUGGUUGAAUGGUGACAACCCGUGAGCCCUAGAGGGGUUAUAUGCAUGUUAGAGCGGCAGUGGUACUGUCGGGAGGUGUUGCGGUGCGGACCUCCAGGGCAUUGGCUUGAGGUCUGCGGUGCUGACCAAGAGAGCAUUGGUUUCAGAUUGGGUACUUUUGGACUGAUUGUCCCAUUGACGCAUAUGUUUAUAGUAGCAGUCGUUGCAUGCAUACUUACAGAUCUUACUUUAUAGUUGUCUUGCUACUAUAGUAGAUAUUCAUGUAUGCUUUCUGUUCCAGUUACAGUAGCGGUAGCCAUUAUUCAGUCUAGCUCCUGCUCUCUUUCAGUUUAUUGCUACUGUAUUUAGUAUAUCUGCUCAUUACCUUAUACAUCUCUUACGUUUACUACUGUUCCUACUGUAUUCCCACUGACCCGUACUGUUAUAUAGCUCUUCCUGAUCCGGUGAGUACUCCUCGCCUUCUUCGGCUUGCGGUACCCACUGGGAGGGGAGACAUGUUUACAUGUUCUCACCUCCCCCACCAUUUUUCAGGUAUCGCGGGCGAUGAUUAGUGGGACGAGACGUGAGGUACGUGUGUAGCGGUCGAUAGAGCUUCCGACCCAGGUUAUUUCGAUUUAGUUAUUACCCUUAUUAUUUCUGUUGAUUUAUAGCUUAGUCGGUUUACAUGGUUCAGUUUUGUGUUAUUAUCUGAAUAUCUGAGUUUUCAGUUGGUUUUGGAAUGUAAUAAAGGAUUUGUGUUUUCUUGAAAUAAAAAUGGUUUUCUACCCCUCGUGGUAGCGUUUUAAAAAGAUAAAAGUUUCCAUGUAGGGAAUAGUUUUCAAAGGGUUUUCUGUGAUUUUGUAUCUUAGUAUUUCAAAACCUGUUUCUGUGGUUGGAAACAUUUUAACUGAUAGAUGUGAAUUUAUAUUUAAAUAUUGAAUGGAAAAAUGUGAAUCUGUGGUGAAUGGUGUAUGAAUAUAUAACUGUGGUUAUUUGUAUGUUCAUCUGGUUGUGGUUGUAUCAUGUUUGAACUCUUGUACUUGUGCGACGCCGUGCAAAUACAGGGGAGACUCUGUCCGUGUGAACAGUGCAUCUCCUGUAUUUGUGGCGGAUCUGGCAUACCCUGGGGUCAGAUUUUCAAAAAAAAAAAAUUCAGACGCUUUUCCGCUAUGCUUUAAACUAAAAAGGAACCCCGGGGCGUGACACCUCCGCCCUCGCUCCCGCGUGCGCCCCGCGCCCGCGCCCCGCUCGCGCGCGGAGCCCAAGAGAGAGCAGCGGAGAAGAGGGGGAGAGAGAGGGGGGAGGGAGGAGGAGAGAGGGAGAGAGCCGAGGGGGGGAGGGAGAGGAAAAGAGGGAGAGAGAGAGGGGGAGAGAGAGGCCCCGCCAACACAUGGCAGGCCCCGCGGCCACCCCCCCGGCUCUCUCUCUCACUCUCGCUCCCCCUCUCUCCCUCAGCUCUCUCUCUCUCUAUCUCUCGCGCGGGCGGGGGGCACGGAUAGCCCGCGCGCAAGGCCCCCAAUUCUCUCUCUCUCCCUCUCUCCCCUGCCAUGUAUACGCUGCGGACGACCCGCGCCCGACUGUAGCACACUGGACCUUUGCAAAUUGCGAGGUUCGAGUGUUCGAGCUGUGUUCUAAGUCCUUCCAGACUUUCUAGUGGGUCGUUGAUAGUGUUCCGACCUAUGACUCGUAUCCCGAGAAUUGUGGUUUAAAGCUGUGUACCAAAACCCGAAAAAUCGGAUUCUUGGCCAGCUCUCAGGUAGCUUUCUAGGGGUCUUGUACCGGUAGAAGGUUUGUGAUUGUACCGGUACAAGGUUGAUGGUUGUACCGGUACAGCCACCGGCUUGUACUGGUACAAAGCCGUUGAACCCCCCCAACCCGAGCCUCGGGUUGAGUUUUUCGUGGGGCUUGUACCGGUACAAGGGGCCCGUGUACCGGUACAAGGGGGCAUUUUUCGUGCAGUCUGGACUGCAGAGGCGUUUUUGCUUUUGUAGCCUCCUUAUAUCAACACCCACGCCCCUUGGGGCCUUCCCUGAGCUGAGAACACAGAGAGACAAGGUAAGAGGAGCCCCACCUUGCCUCUCUUUGGUUUUGAUCUCUUUUCGUUGGGUUUUAAAGAGAUUAAACUUCUCUUUUUGCUUGUUGGAGGCAUUUCCACCAUUGUUGAGGCUUGGAGCUUGGGUUUGGAGCUUGGUGGAGGGAAGAUCCUAGAGGUUUGAGGACUUUGGGCUUGGAUUGAAGCUUCUAAGAGGUAGGUGGCAAGAUCUUUUCCUCUAAUUUUAGAUUUUGGAGUUUUCUUUGAGAUGAAACCCUAGAUUGGAAACUUAUGGUUGUUUUUGGGCAUUUUGAUUCUAGGGCUUUUGAGGCUAGAUUGGUUGGAUUAGAACCUUCCUCUAGGCUAGAUUGGAAGGGUUCUAGCUCUCUUUUGGAGCUUUAGAAGAGAUUUCUCUCUUGAGGUGAGUUUUGACCAUUUUGCUUUAUGGUUAAUGAUUGAGCUAUUUGCUCUUCGUUUCGUUUGGGUGAACCUAUUUUUGAUGUUCCUAGGGUGCUAGGAAGCUAGUGGAUACCUCCGUUCGGCGAAACGAAGGUUUUGAUUUUGGUGGGUUUGACCUAGCCUAUAAUAUGAGAAAUUCUUAUAUAUGGUGAUAUAUGUUUCGUAAAUUGGAAAAGCAUGCAUAUUCAUACUAUAUGUAUUUAUUAUGAUUUUUGGAAUGCUCAAAAUGCCUAUGUCACAUGUAAUGAAAUUUUGGAUCUCUAUGUAGUAGAGGAUAGCAUAUGAAGCUUAUGCGGAAUUUUUGGCAUUCUUAUGUUGGAUCAUGUUUCUUAUAGUGUAAAUGAGCUUUGAUUCAUGCAUUUAAAUCUAAGUGUAUUUGAGACAUGAAAGAUAACUAAUAUGCCAUAAAGAGGCAUCAAACUAGAACGUUAUGUGAAUUAGAGAGCUAAUGUCAUCUAGCGGCAUUGAGCUCGGGACAUGUGUGAACCUAGUGGAUAGGGCCAUUGAGGAAUGUGGAACAUGCUUAAAUAUUGAAUGUCUAAGUGUCAUAAAGGGGCACUAGACCUAGAGAGCAUUGGAACUUCACUUGUGACUUAGAACUAGAUCUUCGAGAUGCUAGUGACUAUACCAUGUUAGAGACAUGAUGAUUGGAUACUUGAGACGUUGACUAUACUUGCUUGCCAUUUGUGCUCAUUCGCACAUGCUUGUGAGGGUCGCUCCCUACAAGCCGGCACUCCGGAGUUAGCCUACGCGACCUAUGUUCGCUCGUGCGGUAUCGGAGAAACCUACGGGGUCGGGAGGGAUGACUCAUUCCUAGAGUAGGAAUGCUGGAGCUCCACGACACUUGGUGGCACAAGCUGGACUACAAUUUGUAGGGCCUAGAACAUGUUGGAAACAAUGACAUUGAACCGGGAAUGGAUAAUCACUACUAGACAGGCUUAGUAGUUAUAUUACUUUGACAUGCUUAUGAUAUAGCAUUUGGACUUAUAGUAUACUUGCCUUGUUUCAUUUAUUGCAUUGUAUAUAACUCGGUUGCUUGAUAGAGCUUAUUCCUUAUGUAUUGACACAUUGGAUCGUGAUGCUUACUCGUUUUAUUAUGUUGAGACAUAUCAGCUAUGCAUUGAACAUAUUCCCUUAUUAUAGAUAGAUGUACAUCAUGUUGACAUAAUGCUUACUUGAGAGCUCAGUAGUUUAAGCAUUUUAAAUUAUGCUUUCAUAAUUGCAAUUUAUCACUAUUAUUAUUAUUGCUUAUCGUACUUACCCCUUUUCUUUUGGAGCCUAGUGGAGCAUAGGACUGAGGUCAGUAAUUGCUCACUCUGGGAAUUAAUAAUUUAUAGUUCUCAUGCCCUCUUUUGGAAGAUAUGGAUCCCGAGGAUCUAAAAAGUAAGUAACACCUUAGAGGGGGGGUGAAUAGGUGUAAUCCGCAAACUCGAAAAAAAUCUCGAUGCAACAAACACAAUGCGCGAAAUUAAAUAUGCACACCGAGAAUUUAACGUGGGAAAACUCGCAAUUCGGAGUGAAAAACCCACGGGACGCGAUCACGCAAAGAAAUCCACUAAGAAAACUUGAGUACAAGUGAUUUCGACCAAAACUACGACUCAAUUUCGAUUUCUCGUUGACGGUGAUCUUGUGCCGUUCUCGAUCGAUAGGAAUCCACCAUAUCGACCUUGCUGCAACUCUCGCAGCGUCAACGCCUCAACUCCUCGAAGCGUCCACCGAAUCCUCGGCUUCAGCGAGAUCCAGCGCCGAACCUCCUUCCGGGCUUUAGAAUUGAGAUUUUGUGGUGAUUUAACUUUUGAAAACCAUAAGCUAUGUGAGGGGUUCACCUUUAAUCAUCUACUUGAUUCUUGUAGGAAGUAUCGAGUAAAACGAAGAAUCAAGCCGAUGUUGAUUGCUAGAAACUCAUCAUGUAAAUCGAAGCAUUGAAACGAGAAGAAAACGAGUUUCUAGGGUUGGAAUUGGUAAAUAUUCAAAGCCUUAAUUUUGAGACCCACAUAGCUUAUUAUAUGUUUAGAAGACUUAGAAGUAGACUGGAUUGCAAAAAGUCGAUUUCAAAAAACUGUGUCGUCCUCAGAGACCGGUCUGUCGAGGAGACGGUCUGUGAGAGACCGUCUCUUCAAGUGAGGAACUCGUCCCUCCCUGCGUGACGCAAAAACCCCACGUUCGGGAACGGUCUCUCAAAACUUGAGACGGUCCCGUCGCUGCGCGACAGAACCACCAAGGUUCGGGAAGCGGUCUCUCAUCAUAGGGGACGCGGUUGCAUCAAGGUUUACGCAGUGAGGACCUUGGGAGAACCGGUCUCUCCAUUUCAGAAACCGGUCCCGACACAAGAAAGUUCAGAAAUUUGUUUAAAACAAUCUAAGCCUUCUGAACUUAUUUUUAAUCAUGUAUCUUCACCACAAAAUGAUCUUUUCUACAUACCUUAGGUGUCGAUCUUCUCCGAAUGAGUCUUUGUCCUCCAAUUUGAAUCUUUUCUCAAAAAACUUCUGCGAUCAACUCUUCAAGACUCCAAACAACUUUACGAAAUUCGCCAACCUAUAAAAUCCUUAACAAUCUCCCCCUUUGGCGAUUUCGUGACAAAAUAUACUACAAAGCUCGUAUACAACCAAUAAGUCAUAAAAAGAAGAUCAUCGCAAUCACCAAACGAUAAUCUCCUGCAUGAUCAAUCCAAUAAACAAAAUUUACACUUUUACAACCUUAAAACAAACUCUAUGACUUAGACAUGGAGUCUUGAAGUCUUGAAUUAUUCCUGCAAAAACAUUCUCAAAACAUAAUCAAGAUUCAAGUAUCAAUAAGUAUCAAGAAGAUCAAACAAUCAACUAAAGUUCACACUUCAUAGUUCAUAGUUAAACUAAACAAAAACACUAAGUCAAACACCUAAAGCAUUAAAACAAAGUCAUCUUAACUAAGCAAAGCCCUAAAAGCAUUAAAACAAAGUCAUCUUAACUAAGCAAAGCCCUAAGCUAAAUGCAUCAGCAUCAUCAUUAAGACCCCAUCACCUCCCCCUUUUUGUCAGAAAGCGCCAAAACGACAAAAGGAGAAGCUCGGUAAAUCCUAGUCAGAAUUAUCUCCUGGAGGUAAAUCCGCCCGACAACAUCCUAAUUUGUCAAAAAUCAUAUUCAACAAGCGCUUCAUCUUGCUCACAUCCUUACGAAUUGCAGCUUGUUCUGCAGACAACUUCUGAAGCUCCUCAGAUAGACGUUGCUGCUCGCGAUACACCGAUGAAACGGAAAUAUCNNNNNNNNNNNNNNNNNNNNNNNNNNNNNNNNNNNNNNNNNNNNNNNNNNNNNNNNNNNNNNNNNNNNNNNNNNNNNNNNNNNNNNNNNNNNNNNNNNNNGACAGAGCCUAAGUUUAAUCAACAAUUGAGAAAAUAAAAUGUUGUUUAAUUUGUGAGACGUUAUGAGUACUUUUAAUAAUGAUGAGGCCUUUUAAAUAUUACAAACCACGUUCUCUAUUCCAUGAGCUAAAGUUUAACCUUAAAAUCAUAAUCUAGAUAUAUAUAAUAAAUGAUAAGAUACAUAAAUCACACACACGCACCAGGUGCAAGUAACAAAUUCUAAAAACAAAGCAACAAUGCAAAAGGCCUAUAUAUAUAUAUAUAUAUAUAUAUAUAUAUAUAUAUAUAUCAUGCAGCUGUGUUGUCACUUCUGAGACGUAUAUAUUAGUGAUGAUGGAGGAGAGAGAGAGAGAGAGAGAGAGAGAGAGAGAGAGAGAGAGAGGGAGGAAGAAGCUGCAUGCUGAGUCUGUGUGAGAACACGGGAUAUGUUGGUUUUGCAGGGAUUCUCUGCGGAGUGGAAUGAUUACACCCUACACCAAGCUAGGGCUUAGCCUGAGACACCCUACCUAGGGCACAAAAAUCUCAAAAAGAGAUAAAAAAAAAUGGUGAUUAAUUAACAAAGCCAGGGCUUCAGGUUUUGUGCAAAUUCAGAAACUUCAAAUUAGCUGGUCUUUAAUAAAGCGUGUGAAUGUGGAAUAAUAACUUACAAAAUGGGGGUAUAAAUUAUAAAAUGGGGAUAACUUAUAAAAUAUUCGGCUAUGAUAUACCUUCUAGUUUAUUUUCUAUUUAAAUAUCGAUGGAUUUAUAGUAAAGUAUAGGAGAGGGCCUUUCUUAAUAGAUAUAUGUAUAUGAAUGGGAGUUGAGCUAGAAUACUCUCAAAAGCAUCAUGAAUGUGAUAUUUUUGAGUUUUUAGUCAUUGGAUGGAGAAAUGUAAGGUUGAGAUGACGGUGGUAGGUGGUGAUAGGUGGAAUAGUAUUUGAUCCAAAGACUAUUAGUAAUCAAGGAGUAGAUCCAAGGGUUAAAAACCUAAAAGCACUAAGAGCUUGGUGUUUCUAAAAGUAUUCUAGCUCAAUUCUAUAAAUCGUAAGUUUACUUGGAAUACUAAUAAUAGUAAAUAAAUAGUAUUUAUUAUCAAUUUUUUAAUUCUUGAAUCAAUAUCAAUCCAUCUACAUCCGCUAAAUCAAAGCAUCAUAUAUAGGACUAAAAAAUUUAUUUCAAAUCCUAUUUCUUUGCUAUUAAUAGUAUUCCGACUUUAUUCUAUGAACUAUAAGCAAUAAUAAUUAUUAGAUUUGAAUGUCUGUGGUGGGUAGCGGAGGGCUCAGGCAUGGUAUGGAUCGGAUCCGAAACUCGUUAAGAGUUUUCCUUUUUAUUUUUUUUUGCCCUAAAGGUGUGAGAUCGUGGUUGGUUGUACUAUUUGAACAUUGUAUUUCCUUUUUCGUUCGAUAGUGAGGUUCUCUCCUCCUUCGCCCGUGGUUUUUUCCUGCAAAAGAUUUUUCACGUAAAUCUGUGUGUUUUCUUUUGUUUCUGCUUGUGAUUUGUUUAUUUUGUAUUCGUCAUUUUGUUUUUGUUUGUGCGUUUGUCGUAACAGGGAUAGCAGAAUGCUACUCUCUCGAAAAAAAAAAAUCUAAAAUGUGACAGCCACAUGAAGUGAUACACCCACUAGCAACAGAGCACAUGAAGCAGUUAUACAUCUUUUUGCCUGUUGUGAUUUUUUCAUGCUCACUUGAGCCGAAUGCGGAAAACUCUCUAGAUACAUCCACUGACCUUCAAUUACUAUAGGCAGAUCGAUGUGUUUUUCUUUUCACCUGGAUUCCAAUAAGGAAAAAAGCACCGGUCAAGUUGCGAUGUAAAAUUGAUUCGAUGUUUGCUAUCAUUUUCUAAAACUUAUGAAAAGAGUGCAAUAAUAAAAUUUUCAAUAGGUUGUAUAAAUCAUCCAAAGAACUAAUUUGAGUAUCACAUAAUAAUGCACUAAUGUGGUUCAAAUUUUUGUAACUACGGAUUCAAUUAGAGGAUUCAAUCAUUGCGUGCUGCAUGUCUACUCAUCCUACACUUAUUUUUUAUAUAACUUCUAUUAUAUUCAAUGACAGGUAAUUAACACCCUGUACAAUCCUUUCAAAAAAGAAAAAGUCACAUGAAGUAAUGUGGUAGUGUUUUCAAUCAAUUAAAUUAUUAUACAUUAAUUUAUCCAUCUCAUUAUAAUUAAAAAAAUAUUUUUAUUAUAUUUUUUAGAAAAUAAUUAUUGACUGAAUAUAAGUAAUGUGAUAUACCUCCCCCCCCCCUCUCUCUCUCUCUCUCUCUCUCUCUCUCCUCUCUCUCUCUCCGGGCGUGAACUGAGCAAAAGAUAUGGUAGUGAAGAAGGUUACGUACGUUGGGUCUGAAAACGAGUCAUGACUCAUGACUCGUGAGGAAUCGAGUAGUCUCUUAAUAAUAAUAAUAAUAAUAAUAUUAUUAUUAUUAUUUCUGUUGCAUGCAUGUGUUCGUACAUACGUACGUGCUUUAUUUGUAAACUCGCGCGUAUGCAUGCAGAUGCAUGGACGUGUUACGUACGUAGGGUAAUAGUAAGUGCUGAAUAUAAAUAAUAAUAUAUGUGUGUCUUUAGUAACUUAAAGCUUUUUUUAAAAAAAUUAUUAUUUUUAUAUAAUUUAAUAUGGUAUGAAAUCAGUAGAUUGUUAGUUAAUUUUUUCUCAUUUAAUUUAAAUUUAUGUUUAAUGUUAAAUUAAUUAUGUAACAAGUUACGAUAGCUAGAGUACUAUUUCUAGAGAUAAAUAAAAUUGGUUAUGGUGAUAGUAUAUCCGAACUGACGAUCGACUCUAUUAUUAAUUAAUUAAGUAUGAUCUAAACUACUUAAUUUUUUUAGAAUUAAAUCAAAUUCUAUAAUUUUACAAUAUAUUUGUUUAGUGAUCAAGCGUGUCAAAUUCAUCUAUAUUUGCUAAUUAUAAAACUUAUAAAACUUUGAACAACAAAGAGACUAAGCAAAUAAUACCCAAAAAUUAUGAAAUUUAAAGCAUAAAAAAUUCAAAUACUCUAGACUAUAUUUAAUAGUGUCUAUUAUUUUUAACUGUAUAUGUACCGUUUAUUUAAAUUUGAGUGACAUAGACAUGGGAUAAUAUAUCUAUAUAUAUCCAUUUUCUUUAACAAAAAAAAGAAAUUUAGGCUACAACUAGGAUCAGGAGCAUGAAAUUAAUAUAUCUAAACUAGGUUUGAUCAUGUCACAAAUCUACAUGUGGAGUGAUCACUAAAUGGCUUGAUCCUAGCUAAAACACAUAGAUUAGGUCGACCCAUAGGCUCAUAACCCUUUUGGGGCCACUCCCAUGAUUCAUGAACAAAUUAACCAGUACAAUUUUAUUGUUCAUUGAAGGAAAAAAAGAAAAGAAAAGAAAAAGAAAAUCAAAAGAAAAGGAAAAAGUACUUUGUGUAGGGGUCUAGAGUACUACAGUACUACUACCCCACCAAAAGAAGUGCACAUGUAGUCAAGAGAGACACAUUUGAAAGAACAUAUAAAUGCUAAGCUUUUGGGUUGGUUUCUCCACUCUCUCUCUAGGAUUUAAACACAAAGCUCCCUUCAUCAUGGCCUAUUUAUUAACAGUUACACCACUGUUUCCCAAGAAGUAUAAGUCAAACAUAAAGAGAGCCCACCCUUUUACCUAUCUUUUUUUUACCCCCCCCCUACUUGGCUCAACUCAAUCCUUGGUUUCUUUUAAUUCCACCUCUUUAUCUCUCCUCUUUAGUUAUUUUAGUUGCGUGAGUUGGGAGGUAAAAGAUGUGAUCUUUCCUUUGAUGCAGUGUUAAUUAAUUAACACAAGUCACCACAGCUGCUGCACAAAAGAAUACUGCAGUGACUUCAAGAUUGCAGGAGAAGCUAUUCAUUGCCUGGAACAGAGCCACAGUGGGCCAGUUUAGUUGAUUUGGAAAGGUAAAAAUGUACAGAACUUACCUUAACUACUAUAUACGAAUUAUUUUGAUUUAUUUAUCCAAUAUUUUAAAAUUUUGAUUUUACUAUAUAAUCUUUCAACUUGUUUGAAUCGAGUCUGCCAGUGUCGACAUUUUGACUUUAAAAUUUGAAUGCGUCAAUUCUCGUAGCUAUAUAUAAAUUCAUUAAAGUAAGUAAUAAGCUAACUUAAAUUUUAAAAUCAAAUUACCGCUGAUCGACUCAAAUUAAACAAAUUGAAAGUUUGGAUAGUAAAUUCAAAGAUUGAAAGAUUUGAUAGUCAAGUCAAAAUGGCCCGUAGUUCAAAUAAAUUGCCUACAUUUUUACCUUUCUAAAACUCGAUUAAUUCAAUUUUUUUAAAAAUAAUAUAUA